Molecule: ribosomal RNA, 468 nt
Filed under: uncultured bacterium
Lineage: Bacteria
Description: partial 16S ribosomal RNA
Rfam family: Bacterial small subunit ribosomal RNA
Source: RNAcentral
GACGAACGCUGGCGGCGUGCUUAACACAUGCAAGUCGAACGGAAAGGCCCUGCUUUUGUUGGGUGCUCGAGUGGCGAACGGGUGAGUAACACGUGAGUAACCUGCCCUUGACUUUGGGAUAACUUCAGGAAACUGGGGCUCAUACCGGAUAUGAGCUCCUGCUGCAUGGUGGGGGUUGGAAAGUUUCGGCGGUUGGGGAUGGACUCGCGGCUUAUCAGCUUGUUGGUGGGGUAGUGGCUUACCAAGGCUUUGACGGGUAGCCGGCCUGAGAGGGUGACCGGCGACAUUGGGACUGAGAUACGGACCAGAAUGCUACGGGAGGCAGCAGUGGGGAAUAUGGCACAAUGGGCGGAAGCCUGAUGCAGCAAUGCCGCGUGCGGGAUGACGGCCUACGGGUGGUAAACCGAUGUCGCCUGUGACGAAGCGUGAGUGACGGUAAUGGGUAAAGAAGCACCGGCUAACUACGUG